Molecule: long non-coding RNA, 4003 nt
Organism: Nymphaea colorata (pocket water lily)
Lineage: Eukaryota; Viridiplantae; Streptophyta; Magnoliopsida; Nymphaeales; Nymphaeaceae
Exons: 2
Source: RefSeq, a predicted model, not a curated record
GGGGGAUGGUGAAGUUGUUUCUUCCCUUCUCUGGUUCCUUUCUUCCUUCGCUUCUUCGUUCCCCGAUGCUCUUUGAUGAAAUCUGUUGUUCGGGAUUUUCUGCAAUUUCGUUUAUCAUUCUCCACGUCUUUCGUUUAAUUCGAUGAAGGAGGGUGUCCCAAAGGGUGAAAUGAUCUCUAUUAAAUCUUUCUAAUCUAUUUUGUGCUCAGCAUGUUCUUCUUUUGACCCCAGUCCGUUCUUAAGGUCCCUUAUUGUUUCUGAAACGAUUGUGGUUCGUGCUGUCGGCUUUGACCAUCUCGUUUGCUGUAGAUGAGGAAUAUAGGUGAUUUUGGUCCGUCAUUUGUAGUCGGUUCAUGAUCUUUACGAGGGGAAUUUGAUCUAAUCACCUGGAAUUCUGAUUUUAGGCAGAGUAAUGGGUAUGGUUGAUAUGCAAGCGGAUGAUUAUGAGGCUUCAAUUAGGCUGCUGGUUUUGGUUUUUAUGGAUUUUUAUCACGUGGAUAAUUUUGAAGCGCGCAGCACUGCAUCGUUCUGUCAGCACUGCAUCGUUCUGUAGGGUAGUCUUUUUCUUGAAGUGUCCCUUCUGUUGUUAGACUGAGAGAUUGAAAAGUUUCUUACUGUUGAUCCGGUUUUUCCCGUUUAUGACGGGUAGCCAUUUUGUUCUCAAGGUGGACAUCAUCUACUUGUGACUUGACGCUUUUCCCUGCAGAUCUGACAUUCUGCUGUAGCUCUGGUUCAUCAAGCAAUCUACUUCCCUACAGCCCUAUGACUUUUUGAACCAGCUUCUAUUGUGAAAUCUAGCACGGUCGUUCAUAGCAACUGUUAAUUGGGAUUGUUAUCUGUGCCUUCCAUAAUUUUGCUGGAUAGUCUGAUGCGUUCCAAGAGAAGUUUUUUCUUGGAUAAAUGGGGUCACUUUGAGGUUAUAUUUGGAAUUUGUAAGUUUACAAAGAAAAAUCCUAAAGGAGCGUUCUAUCUUGUUACCUUAAGCAUCUUAUUAAGGUGGAAGCCGACUCUUCUUCAAGGCUUGAGUGUAUUGGUGAAUAGUCUGACAAUCUAUUUUGAUCCAAUCAGCAGUCUCGAGGACUAUUUCUUCUGCCCUCGGAUUACAGUUCCCUUGUUGGAAUCUAGCUACUUUAUUUACUGGGGAUAAUUUCUUUAGGUGUGGAGAACCUGCCGCCAUUGGAGAAAUUGAUGUAUUAUGAAGUAAUUGUUAUCUGAGGCUUCUCUAUAUUGGUUGUCGGGAAGUAGAACUCCUACAAAUUGUGUCGCUUUCAUAUUCCAUUCCGCAUAUGUUAAAGUACCUCUACUUGAUUUUUCAGGUCGCAUGUUCUGCGACAAGGUGAUGGUGGAGCCAACCGUUCUUCAUUUGCUGCAAUAACUUUUCUCUCUCUUUUUUCUCUUUUUCUAUUCCUUUGGGUUUUCUGACAUGUCCUUUUCCCUUUACAACAUCUUUGUUUUCUCCCUCUACUUAAAGAGCCUGAUAGUUUUGGCUUCUUAUUUUCCAUAUGUUAUGUCGUACAUAUAGUUAAAGAAGACUGAACUCAUAGCUUGAACUGUGUCAGUAGUUAGGAUAUCAGAGCAUUUAGUUACGAUUUAAUUUUUAUUAACCUUUUCUAACUGCAUUUGAGAUAUAACUUCUACCUUUCAAAAAUUGUUAUUUAUUGUUGUUUAAUUUAGAGAAGUUUUGUAGGCUUUGAGCUAGCUGGUUGAUUGUCUGUGGUUGUUGGAUGCUUGGAUGCACCUUUCUUUAUUAUGGUUAGCACAAGACUCGUGUGGACAAGGAGACCUUCAUAUUUAUUUUUUCAAUCAUAGCUGACUGCUGCAUGUUGAAAGUAGAUACAAUUUUGCUGAUGCUAUUUACUUUUUUCUCCACUUUCCCUUAUCUCAGCUUUGUUUUAAUUAUAUUGAUGGUUUUUGCCAAGCUUCCAGUUGGAACUUGGGAAAAUAAUUAGCUUGUCUUGUGAUAUGUCAUUGGUUAUCUUGUAUUUUCUUCCCAGGUCUUCUUUUUUUUCUUUUUUUUUUCUUUUUUGUAUUGAGAUAGUCAUGUCCAGAUUUAGUAGAACAUGUUACAAAAGAUUAUCUUGCUUUUCCAAGACUUCUGAUCCUCCCAAUGGAGGUUAUCCUCAGAAGAAGGCGGUACAUUAAAAGGUCUGAAGCUGCUUAUUGGUUUGUUGUGGUAUUGAUAUUUUACCUUACACGAUGAAGCUGAUGACACAUCUCAUAAAGAACACAAUCUUGGGCACGAAGCAAGCUUCUUCAUGCGGAAUAUGGUGUUAGUAUUUUCCUUGGCUGAAGGUUUCACCUGCUUGAUUACUUGCCAACUAUUAAUGAUCAUUAUAGGUUCAAUAAUUCCUACUUUUGAUGGGGGAUGUUACAUUAAAGAUGAAGUUAGAUGCUUGAUUGCUGAUUUCAUGUUUUCAACUGAGUGAUUCCUCACUGACAUUGUGUCAAAGUAGAGCUGGUAAUUUUUCUAUUCAUGAGGAGGCUUCUUAACAUUGGUCAAGAGUCAAGACUGUCAUAUAAAGAAUGAAGAUCUCAGUUGGUUAAGGACUAGUUCUCCUUUAGCAAUCAAUGAAAUCCUGAUUCAAGUUUCAGACUAUUGAUUCCUUAUUCAAGCACGGAGCUCAUGUUCUAUUUUAAGGUAAAGAAUGUGUACUUUUGAUGGCUAAGCAAUCAAUCCAUCAAGAAAGGGAUCACUUUUACCCUUCUAACCGUUUUGGCCGAUGGUUUUGGGCCUAGCAUCUCAUCCCUCCCCCAGGUGGGACACUGUAGUUUCAGAGAAAGCUUCUUAUCAUUGAUCAAGACUGUCAUAUAAAGAAACGCAGAUCUCAGUUGGUUAAGGACUACUUCUCCUUCAGCAAUCAAUUAAAUCCUGAUUCAAGUUUUAGAUGAUUGAUUUUUUUUCAAGCACACAGAGCUCAUGUUCUAUUGUAGGGUAAAGAACGUGGACUUUUGAUGGCUAAGCAAUCAAUCCAUCAAGAAAGGGAUCAAUUUUUACCCUUCCAACCAUUUUGCAUAUGGUUUUCGACCUAGCAUCUCAUUCCUCCCCCAGGUGAAGUUCAAGCUUGCUGCAAUCUUAGAAUCAAGAAAAGCAGUUUGGUGUCCAUCUAUGGCACGUUUUAAGUGGCAUUGCAAUCUAAUCAGUCGUCAGUGUAUCCCUACCGCAGAGUCUUUACUUUUGCUCCACUAAGAUUACCAUAUCUAGAUUUGGUACAGGAGGCAUACAAAUGGGUUUUCUUCCUGUUGAAGUUAUGUUUAACACUGAAAUUAGUUUUGGUUUGUCAUUUGGAAGUUCUGCUUUACUUUAGUCAGUGAUUCUAGAUGAAGAAUGAAAUCUCAGUUGGACAGAAAAGUCAAUCCAUCUUGUGGUGUUGGGAUGUUACUUCUCCCCAAGGAUGCAGCUUUCUAAUGGCGGUGUCACAUUAAGUUUGGAAAUGGACACUUUCCUGAGUUUGAAAACACAAAAUUAUCUUAUUGGUUUUCUGCAUGAUUCCUCACUCAUGUAGCGUCUGCAUAGUGCUGAUAUGUCUUCGGUUGCAAAGGGAAGCUUCCUAGCUUUGACAAAGACUGGUAAAUGAAAAUGCAAUCUCAGUUAGGCACGAACGGCUUCCUCUUAGCGGUCAUGCAGUUUGGUGCCUCUGGGGAUAAAUAUUUUCCGUACUGAUCCUGAUUCAAUUUCAUCUUAUCAUUCCUCUUCAAGCAUCAGAGAAUCCUGGUUUCGGUGGUUACACAUUAAAAGCAUAUCCUACAUGUAUGUUGAGCCUGACGUUCAUCCCCUUGGCAAGACAAUGUUAUUGCUUACUAACCCUCGUGCAUGCUUUGGGACUGAGAGGAUAGUCGAAUAUGACAUUUUCAUAAAAAGGAUCUUAUUAAUUUUAGCUUUCUUUUUAUGUAAUUUGAUACUAAUGCAUUACUUAUUGCAUGGGCUUGUACCUUAAUUUUGUGUUGUUGGUACGGGUGGCAGAAUUUAGUUGUUUCGUAAUAAAAGUGGGUUUUGCACCUAAAA